Hipposideros armiger (great roundleaf bat) is the source of this 3881-nucleotide long non-coding RNA. RefSeq lists it as uncharacterized. Lineage: Eukaryota; Metazoa; Chordata; Mammalia; Chiroptera; Hipposideridae. The transcript has 3 exons. The record is from RefSeq and is a predicted model, not a curated record.
AAAGACCAAAUGGAAUUUUACUUUCUGGCCUCAGCUUGGCCUCCGAGUCCCUGCUCUGGUCCCUACUGGCCGCCUUGCUGCUCCUCAAACAUGCCUAUUUUGUUCCCGCCUCAGGACCUUUGCACUUGCCGUUCUCUGGGACUGGUGCACACUUCAGCCCUAUAACCAUAAAGUCCACUCCCUCGUUUUUUUCUGGUUUCUAUUAAAUGUCUCUUUCCGAACCACCCUGUCUAAAGUAGCUCCACCCUCACCCAGCUUCUAGUCUUAAGGGCCCUUAUCAAUCCACGUGGUAUUGGGUCCCACUAGAAUGCCGUGCCAUGAGGACAGGGACUUUAAACGCCUUAUCCCCUGCUGUGUCACCCACGGUCCAAAACAGUGCAGGGCAUACACUAAGUACUGGUGGGUGAAUGUCUGAUUCCCAGAUCUUCAUGGGUUUGGGAAUCACCAGUGUUACUGUCUUUAUACUCCAAAGAGCCAGAAAAGCCAUGGUCAAGGCGGGGUGGGGUUUCAUUCACACCCAGCCUGGUUCCCAAUGCCUUUUAUGUCUUGGGCGGGGCGGUCUCCCAGCUGCCAGACACCCUGGACAAUGGGGUGUUGUCCAGAACGUAAGUCCAGCUUAUUAAAACAAAGUGGGGUGGGGUGGGGGUGGAGAAUGGGCAAAUUUAACACAUAUGUCCAGCAUAACAAAUAGGGUGCCAAGCUGGUGGAGACCCCUGUAGCUGGGGUCUGGGGACAGAACUGCAGCUCAACCCCCUGGCUGGGGUGUGUGCUGCCAGUUUUGAUGGGGAGGAGGGGAGGCAGUGCUGGGAACCGGGUGCUAGAGCCAAGAGAGCUACCCAGGGCAAAGCAAACCGAAACCCAGACCCACAUGGUCUGACCCCCGACGCUAGGGAGGUGCUGGAGGAGGCCUGGCCCUGCAGCCACCAGCCUCUGCCUGGGCAUCUGCAACCACGGGCUCCUAGAGGCAGGACAGCCUUCCGUCCCCUUCAGGAGGUUGGGAGGGCCAGGCUUUGCCUAUAUCUGCACCUGAAAAGCAUUCUCUAUUAGUCCUCAGCCAGCAGGGUGUUGUUAAAGGCCAGAUUAGGGAAACCUGACAGGAGUUAACCGGGAGGUCGGGAGUCCUGCCUGCCACUCAGUAACAUGGGGGGUAGGUGGGCGGGGCCCCACCGCAGGGCCUAGGGCUUAGAAGAGGUUGCCCAUGGCAACCAUUUCCUCUUGUUUUAUUAAAAGCAGCAUCUCAGAACGCCAUAGGGUCACAGGCAUUUUUUGUUUUUUAAUUAGAAAAAGAAAAACCCCACACAGGUAGUUAAUUCGCUCCACAGCCCAAACUGGGAGACUAUAAUGAGGUCUAAGGGUAGAGACUGCAGCCAGACCCCUGGGUUCUGUUCCAGCGAGGCUACUCGCCAGCUAGGUGACCUGGGCUAACAGAGCGCCUCUGUGCCUCAGCCUCCCCCUCUGGAAAACGGGAGUAAUAAGAUGCAUCCUUCAUUGGAAUAUGGUGAAAAUUAAAUGAGUGGAUGCACAUGAAGGGUUUAGGACAGUCCCUGGCUUGCCUAAGGGCUACCUAAACAGAUACCGUUACCUCUGCAGAAAUCGCCCCAGGUUUGGCCUUCAAGCCAAACUAAAAGAGCAGGGACAGCACGGUUCCAUCCCUGGCAUCUGGUUAGCAAGGAAAGAAAAGGAACUAAAAUCAGCUGGAACAGUCAAGCCAAGUAAGUCGGGCACACUGGCUGGCCUAGCAGGCAGAGAAAGCAUCCAGGAAACCCUCGUUAAGGAGGAUUCUGGGUCAUCCAAGCAACUAAGAGGAAGACCGGUUCCAUGUCCCUCUUCUCUGAGCCCCGCUGAGUGAGGCACCGCAGGGAUUUAUUCCAAGACACCCUCCAUGCCACAGCACCAAUCUGAGACUGGUGGGAUGGCUGGCCCGUUCCAACAACAGGACCGAUGUAAAUGCAAACAGCCUCAGUCACUUCUAUGCACCCCCUGGAAACCCUCAAAGCCCCAUCCUACCACCAGCCCCCAAAAGGAGAGACCAACAUGCAAAUUCACUGCAUGAUUCUGGUCGAAGACAGCAGUUCCCAAACUUGCCUGCACAUUAGAAAUGGGGACGUUUUAAAACUCCUGACGCCCAGGUUGCAGCCCGUACCAGGUAAAUGAGAAUGUCUGCGGGUGUGAGGCGGGCGUGGGUAUUUUUUAAAGACCUCAGAUACUCUAGUGCCAAGUCAAGUUUGGGACCCACUGGACCAAGGAGCAAAGGAGGCACCAAUGAAAUUCCUGUCAGUAUCUUGAGGCGAGGGAACCUUUCCUUUCUGAUUUUCAGCUGGGGGAGGCAUUUCUUGCCCAGUGAGGUGCCAGGUGACAUAGUGGUUUGGAUGCGUGCACGGGGCAGAAAAGUUCAGCGUCCAGAAGGCAGAUGCCACUGGGGUUGUUAGCAACCUCCGGAGUUCAGCUUGUCAUUCCCUCCAGUCCAGAAGGAACCGGAUUCCCCCCACCCCUUGCUCCUGCCUGCUGGGGUGUGUGUGGGGGGGAGCACCCAGUCUCAGUUCGGCCACCAGUCCACCGGAAAACCCCCCUAAGUCUGGCAGGAGACAAACUCUUGAGCCUCCUAACGUGGGGUUCCAGCCUUCCCCAGGCACCGCCUCAUCUCCACGUCAACAUCCCUCACCACCCUGGGAAGGGAGCGUUCCUGUCUGGGUUUGGUUUUUAAAAAAAAUAUAUGAAGAAAAAAAAAGAAAGGCUUUCACGUUGGGGUUGGGGUGGGCGGAUUGUAAACAGGGACCCGGGUCAGAAGCAGCGGGAAGGACCUGGGUCCCAAGGUCUGCGCAGCGUGGGCGUGGGGUUCAAGCCCACUUAGCCAGGGGCCAACUUCCCUGGGAAUCUGGGCAGUCCUUCACCCCUGCCCGUUCCCGGCUGACAGUCAGCCCCAGUCACUCAGUGCGAGGCCCACGGCAGGGAGGCCGUCUGCAGGUCUGGGGCAGGCUGCCCCAUCACCCCUGCACCCUGGCCCCUGCCUGGGAGCGUGGCUGUCCCUGGGCCACCUUCUAGGCUGGAGGGGUGUGUUUGUGUGUGGCGGGGGGACCCAGUCCUGGCUUCUGAGGCACCGCGUUUGGGGCGCACCAGGAAGAACAUGGGAAGCCUGCUGCCCUAGCAGAAUUAACUCGAGGUUUGAAUGUCUGGAACAUUCCGGAGAAAAAAACAGAACUGACUCCGUUUGCCUCAAUUCUCAGGCACGACAGACUUUCCUCGGCCCUCAGGCCACUUGACCUGAAAUGGGACAUGCUGAGCAAGACCUCUGCAAUCGCCACUUCCCACCUCAGGGACUUCAAGAAGUGACGACUUGACUUGCGAGAAAGAGGUCCGUGGAACUUAGGUGGCCAGCUGACAUUGGAGCCCGUGCUGAUAGGAGCCAAAGUGUUCCUGGGAGGUUCCCAGCGUGCCGUUGACCUUGACUUCGGCCAUCCCCCGUGUUUCCUAUUCCUGUUUUUCUAGGCCUACUUAGCUAUUCAUGGGGAAAAUAUCACAGUGGGUAGGAAGUUUUUGCUCAAAAGCCAAACAAAGAGAAGAAAAACAAGAGCAAAGGGAGAAAAGGUUAAAAGAAAAAAAAAUGACUGAGAAAUACCAAAUGCUCUUGUUAAACCAAUAAUUUCCCAGGGUUUCUUAACAGACGAGGAAACUUGAUAGCUGCAAAAAGAGUCCAGCUGAAGAAAAUACCCGGUUUCAGAUGGACUUUCUGGACCCGCAAUGCGUCUCCUGGCACCUGCCGGUGUCGAGGGCCCGGUAAAGACGCUGCUUGGAAGCCAGCUGGACAGGCUGCUGGACAUCUGGAAUCUUCUUAGAACCUCUCCUCCCGCCCGGGCUCCGGAAGUGGCUUUUUUUUUUUUUUU